CAAUAGCGUAUAUUAAAGUUGUUGCAGUUAAAAAGCUCGUAGUUGGAUUUCGGGGCAGCCUGGCUGGUCCGCCGCAAGGCGAGUACUGGUCAGCCGCCCUUCCUCUCGAAAGCCCCGACUGCUCUUUAUUGCAGUGGUCGGGUAGUUCGGGACGUUUACUUUGAAAAAAUUAGAGUGUUCAAGGCAGGCCUACGCCUGAAUACAUUAGCAUGGAAUAAUGGAAGAGGACCUCGGUCCUAUUUUGUUGGUUUCCAAGACCGAAGUAAUGAUUAAGAGGGACAGUUGGGGGCAUUCGUAUUUAAUCGUCAGAGGUGAAAUUCUCGGAUUUAUGAAAGACGAACAACUGCGAAAGCAUUUGCCAAGGAUGUUUUCAUUAA
RNAcentral lists this ribosomal RNA (377 nucleotides) under uncultured eukaryote. RNAcentral describes it as "partial 18S ribosomal RNA". It matches the Rfam family "Eukaryotic small subunit ribosomal RNA", at positions 592 to 976 of the family's 1831-position model. The record is from RNAcentral.